AGUGAACGCUGGCGGUAGGCCUAACACAUGCAAGUCGAACGGCAGCACAGUAAGAGCUUGCUCUUACGGGUGGCGAGUGGCGGACGGGUGAGGAAUACAUCGGAAUCUACUUUUUCGUGGGGGAUAACGUAGGGAAACUUACGCUAAUACCGCAUACGACCUACGGGUGAAAGCAGGGGAUCUUCGGACCUUGCGCGAUUGAAUGAGCCGAUGUCGGAUUAGCUAGUUGGCGGGGUAAAGGCCCACCAAGGCGACGAUCCGUAGCUGGUCUGAGAGGAUGAUCAGCCACACUGGAACUGAGACACGGUCCAGACUCCGACGGGAGGCAGCAGUGGGGAAUAUUGGACAAUGGGCGCAAGCCUGAUCCAGCCAUACCGCGUGGGUGAAGAAGGCCUUCGGGUUGUAAAGCCCUUUUGUUGGGAAAGAAAAGCAGCAGGUUAAUACCCCGCUGUUCUGACGGUACCCAAAGAAUAAGCACCGGCUAACUGCGU
Molecule: ribosomal RNA, 491 nt
Filed under: uncultured bacterium
Lineage: Bacteria
Description: partial 16S ribosomal RNA
Rfam family: Bacterial small subunit ribosomal RNA
Source: RNAcentral